RNAcentral lists this ribosomal RNA (253 nucleotides) under uncultured bacterium. Its description in RNAcentral is "partial 16S ribosomal RNA". It matches the Rfam family "Bacterial small subunit ribosomal RNA", at positions 524 to 776 of the family's 1533-position model. The record is from RNAcentral.
UACAGAGGUCCCAAGCGUUGUUCGGAUUCACUGGGCGUAAAGGGUGCGCAGGUGGCAUGGCAAGUUUGAUGUGAAAGCUCAGGGCUCAACCCUGAAAUGGCAUUGAAUACUGCUGUGCUGGAGGUUUGGAGGGGGGACUGGAAUUCUUGGUGUAGCAGUGAAAUGCGUAGAUAUCAAGAGGAACACCAGUGGCGAAGGCGAGUCCCUGGACAACACCUGACACUGAGGCACGAAAGCUAGGGGAGCAAACAGG